GAUGAACGCUGGCGGCGUGCCUAAUACAUGCAAGUCGAGCGAAUGGAUUAAGAGCUUGCUCUUAUGAAGUUAGCGGCGGACGGGUGAGUAACACGUGGGUAACCUGCCCAUAAGACUGGGAUAACUCCGGGAAACCGGGGCUAAUACCGGAUAACAUUUUGAACCGCAUGGUUCGAAAUUGAAAGGCGGCUUCGGCUGUCACUUAUGGAUGGACCCGCGUCGCAUUAGCUAGUUGGUGAGGUGAUGGCUCACCAAGGCAACGAUGCGUAGCCGACCUGGGAGGGUGAUCGGCCACACUGGGACUGAGACACGGCCCAGACUCCUACGGGAGGCAGCAGUAGGGAAUCUUCCGCAAUGGACGAAAGUCUGACGGAGCAACGCCGCGUGAGUGAUGAAGGCUUUCGGGUCGUAAAACUCUGUUGUUAGGGAAGAACAAGUGCUAGUUGAAUAAGCUGGCACCUUGACGGUACCUAACCAGAAAGCCACGGCUAACUACAUGCCAGCCGCCGCGGUAA
This 515-nucleotide ribosomal RNA is filed under the name uncultured bacterium. RNAcentral's name for it is "partial 16S ribosomal RNA". It matches the Rfam family "Bacterial small subunit ribosomal RNA", at positions 28 to 523 of the family's 1533-position model. The record is from RNAcentral.